Molecule: ribosomal RNA, 468 nt
Filed under: uncultured bacterium
Lineage: Bacteria
Description: partial 16S ribosomal RNA
Rfam family: Bacterial small subunit ribosomal RNA
Source: RNAcentral
GACGAACGCUGGCGGCGUGCUUAACACAUGCAAGUCGAACGGAAAGGCCCUGCUUUUGUGGGGUGCUCGAGUGGCGAACGGGUGAGUAACACGUGAGUAACCUGCCCUUGACUUUGGGAUAACUUCAGGAAACUGGGGCUAAUACCGGAUAGGAGCUCCUGCUGCAUGGUGGGGGUUGGAAAGUUUCGGCGGUUGGGGAUGGACUCGCGGCUUAUCAGCUUGUUGGUGGGGUAGUGGCUUACCAAGGCUUUGACGGGUAGCCGGCCUGAGAGGGUGACCGGCCACAUUGGGACUGAGAUACGGCCCAGACUCCUACGGGAGGCAGCAGUGGGGAAUAUUGCACAAUGGGCGGAAGCCUGAUGCAGCAACGCCGCGUGCGGGAUGACGGCCUUCGGGUUGUAAACCGCUUUCGCCUGUGACGAAGCGUGAGUGACGGUAAUGAGUAAAGAGGCACCGGCUAACUACGUG